CCGCGCAGCCCUACACAGCAAGUCGACGGUAGCACAGAGAGCUUGCUCUCGGGUGAACGAACGGCGGACGGUUGAGGUAAUGUCUGGAAACUGCCUGAUUGGAGGGGGAUAACCUACUGGGAAACGGUAGCUAAUACCGCAUAACGUCGCAAGACCAAAGUGGGGGACCUUCGGGCCUCAUGCCAUCAGAUGUGCCCAGAUGGGAUUAGCUGGUAGGUGGGGUAACGGCUCACCUAGGCGACGAUCCCUAGCUGGUCUGAGAGGAUGACCAGCCACACUGGAACUGAGACACGGUCCAGACUCCUACGGGAGGCAGCAGUGGGGAAUAUUGCACAAUGGGCGCAAGCCUGAUGCAGCCAUGCCGCGUGUGUGAAGAAGGCCUUCGGGUUGUAAAGCACUUUCAGCGGGGAGGAAGGCGAUGAGGUUAAUAACCUCGAUCGAUUGACGUUACCCGCAGAAGAAGCACCGGCUAACUCCGUGCCAGCAGCCGCGGUAAUACGGAGGGUGCAAGCGUUAAUCGGAAUUACUGGGCGUAAAGCGCACGCAGGCGGUCUGUCAAGUCGGAUGUGAAAUCCCCGGGCUCAACCUGGGAACUGCAUUCGAAACUGGCAGGCUAGAGUCUUGUAGAGGGGGGUAGAAUUCCAGGUGUAGCGGUGAAAUGCGUAGAGAUCUGGAGGAAUACCGGUGGCGAAGGCGGCCCCCUGGACAAAGACUGACGCUCAGGUGCGAAAGCGUGGGGAGCAAACAGGAUUCAGGAUACCCUGGGUAGUCCAACGCUGUAACGGAUGUCGAUUUUGGAGGGUUGGUGCCCUUAGGGCGUGGCUUCGGAGCUUAACGCGUU
Molecule: ribosomal RNA, 841 nt
Filed under: Klebsiella sp. C2
Lineage: Bacteria; Pseudomonadati; Pseudomonadota; Gammaproteobacteria; Enterobacterales; Enterobacteriaceae
Description: bacterial SSU rRNA
Rfam family: Bacterial small subunit ribosomal RNA
Source: RNAcentral